AUUGAACGCUGGCGGCAGGCCUAACACAUGCAAGUCAAACGGUAACAGGAAACAGCUUGCUGUUUCGCUGACGAGUGGCGGACGGGUGAGUAAUGUCUGGGAAACUGCCUGAUGGAGGGGGAUAACUACUGGAAACGGUAGCUAAUACCGCAUAACGUCGCAAGACCAAAGAGGGGGACCUUCGGGCCUCUUGCCAUCGGAUGUGCCCAGAUGGGAUUAGCUAGUAGGUGGGGUAACGGCUCACCUAGGCGACGAUCCCUAGCUGGUCUGAGAGGAUGACCAGCCACACUGGAACUGAGACACGGUCCAGACUCCUACGGGAGGCAGCAGUGGGGAAUAUUGCACAAUGGGCGCAAGCCUGAUGCAGCCAUGCCGCGUGUAUGAAGAAGGCCUUCGGGUUGUAAAGUACUUUCAGCGGGGAGGAAGGGAGUAAAGUUAAUACCUUUGCUCAUUGACGUUACCCGCAGAAGAAGCACCGGCUAACUCCGUG
RNAcentral lists this ribosomal RNA (490 nucleotides) under uncultured bacterium. RNAcentral describes it as "partial 16S ribosomal RNA". It matches the Rfam family "Bacterial small subunit ribosomal RNA", at positions 30 to 507 of the family's 1533-position model. The record is from RNAcentral.